UCGUGGAUUAAUUUGUCAGGUUAAUUCCGUUAACGAACGAGACCUUAACUUGCUAAUUGGGCGCCCGCAUUUUAUGCGGCAGCCUAUUAGAAGGACUAUGUGUGUUCAACACAAGGAAGCGUGAGGCAAUAACA
This 134-nucleotide ribosomal RNA is filed under the name uncultured eukaryote. RNAcentral describes it as "partial 18S ribosomal RNA". It matches the Rfam family "Eukaryotic small subunit ribosomal RNA", at positions 1299 to 1458 of the family's 1831-position model. The record is from RNAcentral.